UGGGGAAUUUUGGACAAUGGGCGAAAGCCUGAUCCAGCAAUGCCGCGUGUGUGAAGAAGGCCUUCGGGUUGUAAAGCACUUUUGUCCGGAAAGAAAUCCUUGGCUCUAAUACAGUCGGGGGAUGACGGUACCGGAAGAAUAAGCACCGGCUAACUACGUGCCAGCAGCCGCGGUAAUACGUAGGGUGCAAGCGUUAAUCGGAAUUACUGGGCGUAAAGCGUGCGCAGGCGGUUUGCUAAGACCGAUGUGAAAUCCCCGGGCUCAACCUGGGAACUGCAUUGGUGACUGGCAGGCUAGAGUAUGGCAGAGGGGGGUAGAAUUCCACGUGUAGCAGUGAAAGUGCGUAGAGAUGUGGAGGAAUACCGAUGGCGAAGGCAGCCCCCUGGGCCAAUACUGACGCUCAUGCACGAAAGCGUGGGGAGCAAACAGGAUUAGAUACCCUGGUAGUCCAGCGCCCUAAACGAUGUCAACUAGUUGUUGGGGAUUCAUUUCCUUAGUAACGUAGCUAACGCGUGAAGUUGACCGCCUGGGGAGUACGGUCGCAAGAUU
RNAcentral lists this ribosomal RNA (549 nucleotides) under uncultured bacterium. RNAcentral describes it as "partial 16S ribosomal RNA". It matches the Rfam family "Bacterial small subunit ribosomal RNA", at positions 355 to 895 of the family's 1533-position model. The record is from RNAcentral.